RNAcentral lists this long non-coding RNA (249 nucleotides) under Dasypus novemcinctus (nine-banded armadillo). Its description in RNAcentral is "lncRNA (ENSDNOG00000051093.1)". Lineage: Eukaryota; Metazoa; Chordata; Mammalia; Cingulata; Dasypodidae. The record is from RNAcentral.
CUCACACUGUAGUCUCUUUGAGCAGUGUUUGCAUAUUCUGAGAAGAAAACCUUUGUUUGGUUUUAUUUUUCCAAGUUUUAUUGAGCCACGAGACCCUAGACUUCCAGCUGCACCUUGGAAGGGAUGGUGUUUGAGUCAAGGGUGUUGACCAAAGCAGCCUUUGGGAAUCUGUGCGCUUCCACUAUGACUGACUGGAGGAGAGAAAAUGUGCUCUCCAGCCAUUUCAGCAGAGCUGUCUUGAUGUUCUGA